This 501-nucleotide ribosomal RNA is filed under the name uncultured bacterium. RNAcentral's name for it is "partial 16S ribosomal RNA". It matches the Rfam family "Bacterial small subunit ribosomal RNA", at positions 30 to 523 of the family's 1533-position model. The record is from RNAcentral.
AUUGAACGCUGGCGGCAGGCUUAACACAUGCAAGUCGAGCGGGGGAAGGUAGCUUGCUACCGGACCUAGCGGCGGACGGGUGAGUAAUGCUUAGGAAUCUGCCUAUUAGUGGGGGACGACAGCUCGAAAGGGACGCUAACACCGCAUACGGCCUACGGGAGAAAGCAGGGGAUCUUCGGACCUUGCGCUAAUAGGUGAGCCUAAGUCGGAUUAGCUAGUUGGUGGGGUAAAGGCCUACCAAGGCGACGAUCUGUAGCGGGUCUGAGAGGAUGAUCCGCCACACUGGGACUGAGACACGGCCCAGACCCCUACGGGAGGCAGCAGUGGGGAAUAUUGGACAAUGGGGGGAACCCUGAUCCAGCCAUGCCGCGUGUGUGAAGAAGGCCUUAUGGUUGUAAAGCACUUUAAGCGAGGAGGAGGCUACUGAGACUAAUACUCUUGGAUAGUGGACGUUACUCGCAGAAUAAGCACCGGCUAACUCUGUGCCAGCCGCCGCCGUAA